Molecule: ribosomal RNA, 253 nt
Filed under: uncultured bacterium
Lineage: Bacteria
Description: partial 16S ribosomal RNA
Rfam family: Bacterial small subunit ribosomal RNA
Source: RNAcentral
UACGGAGGGUGCAAGCGUUGUCCGGAUUCAUUGGGUUUAAAGGGUGCGCAGGCGGGCCAUUAAGUCAGGGGUGAAAGACGGUUGCUCAACAAUCGCAGUGCCUUUGAUACUGGUGUUCUUGGGUGACCUUGAGGUAGGCGGAAUGGGUGGUGUAGCGGUGAAAUGCAUAGAUACCACCCAGAACUCCGAUUGCGAAGGCAGCCUACUGGAGGUUUACCGACGCUCAGGCACGAAAGCGUGGGGAUCAAACAGG